AAUGAGCAACUUCAAGUGUGACUUACAGAAGGUGCUGAUGAGAUUUGUGCAAUAGAGAGAAGUUGUUGGCCACCAGUAGUGAGUAUCAUGGGAGCGGUAGAUGAGCUUGUUGAGGUUUUCUCUGAUGGACAACCUAACAACAUUGUUUUGUUCUCUUUUGCCCUAUUGUUACAACAGAUAAUAUGUUUAGUAGCUUGGUUAGAUGUAAUUUAAAGCUGUACAAUAAAUAUGAGAUGUCAGUACCAGUUGAUGAGUGCCACUGCCUGUGGGUAAUUGGGAUUCACACGUAGUGUGGAAUUGUAUCUAGUUUGCAGUGACAACCCUGUAUAAAAUAUAGGUUGUACAUUGUUUUGUUAUUGUAUAACAUUAUGUUGGCAAGAAGUUGACUGUCUAUCUACCUUGAUAAGUAGAGAUUCCUAUACUUCUUGCGAGGAUGACAAGCAGAUCUGGUUCUGUUGCCAUUUUAGAGGCAAUUUCAUGUCCUUCUAUUUCGCCGAAAUCCUCCCAUAGAGUGAACAGAAACUGACUUUUCCUGACAGUGUGAGAACACAAAGACAGAAGAGUAAGUACCAGGCUAAUGGUUAGAUGAUAAUUGAUGAUGUGAACAUAGAAAGGGAAUAAGUGGUUACUGAUUCGAAAUAUUUGCAGAAAAGGAGUAAAGAGAAUGUGAAAUGUUAUACUUACUGAUUGUCACAAAGGGUAAUUUCUCGACACCUAUGAUGACUGCGACCGGCGUUUUUUUGAGGACCACAACGAAGAACAAUUGCUAGUAUAUCUGCGUAUGUAAUAUAUAUAAUGAAUUGUUGCAAGUGUUUUGCAGCAGUGCAGAUGUAUAUUUCAGUCUGAGAAUAGCUAUUACGAUGGAUAUACCUAUUUCAGCAGCAGAAUCAACCAUCAGAUGAGGAAUGUGGUCAAAGGUUGUGAUAUUCAGCUUCGUUGGCGGUGGAAGUGCAUUUUCAACUUCGUGAGAUGGUUUGAUUUGUUCAAUUACUGUUUCUUUGUCAAGAAUCCAGUAAAAUUUAUGUAUUGGCUUGCCGUAUGAAGCUUGGGAGGCUUUCACUCUUGCAGUAGAGAUCAGGUAGGUAUGGAAGAGUUUAAGUGUAGCUGCAUACUGCUCAAUUUCGUCAGCGUACAUAACAGCCUUAAUUUGGCAUUCCUGAAAGUAAGAGUUAUAGAAAGUUGAGAUUAACUAAGUUGAGAGGAAAAGAGCAAUAGUGAUAACAUAAAAUAUAACAAUGAUCUCACCUCUUCAUCUUCCAAAAUCAAAUUUUGGAAUGUACAUUUCUUGUCAAGGCUUUCUCGUGGGCGUCCUAUUUCGACAAUUUGAACUUUGCAAAUCCAAUCCCGUGUCGCUAGUUCUAUUUGGUCAAUGUUAAGUCAUAGUACCAUGUUUGUAGGAAAUAUAGUUAACCAAAUAGUAGUAUCUGUAGGAUAACAUGAAUGUUAAUUCAAAGUACUCGUAAGUUGAGUAGUAAGUCAAAGUACGUGGUAAGUUGACUGACAUGCAACAUUGUUUCAGGUGUUUACAAAAAAGGGGAAAAAGAAUGAAAUGAAAGGAGCAGUGUGGAGCAAAAUGCAUCUUCCAGCUGUGUAAAUGAGAUUUUCUUGUAGAAACAAAGCAUUAAGAAACUCUUGUAAAAGCAACUUAGGAGAAAGAAUGAAUGUACAGUACAAACUCAUAAGAGACGACCUAGGAUGUAUGAUACUAUUGACUUUUGCUGUUAUCUUGAUGGGGUAACCAUUUAUGUGCUAUUAGUUCUUUUUCAGUCAUGAGAUACUACUGUACAAUUGUAGAAUGUUGAAGCAGCAGUUUGAUAAUUGGAUACAAAGAAAGGAGCUACAGCCAAAGUGAGCAAACAAACUAUACUACUUUAGUGUUGUACUUGUUACUAUUGGGUGAUAUGAGAUGUAAACAGUGGAAAGAUAAUAAAGUUUGUAUUUUGCAAGCAAAAACAAAAUGAAGAACAAAUGAAAAGAAAAACACAGUCUUGUGAUAGUAGAAGUAGAGUCAUGUGUAAAUUUGUUAGGGCCCUUUAGCGAAGCGCAAUGAAGACAUUAAAUCAGUUAGCAGGCAUUAUUAAUGUGCAAAGUACAGUUGGACAAUUAUUUUUUGACAGAAAAGCUGUUAUAGGGACAAAAAAUGUUGCUGAAUAUUAAAAGAGGAACAAUUAUCUCUGAAACUCAGGUGAAAUGACUAUACAUUUAGCAAAAACAAUAUGAAAAACUUUAUUCAUAGAAACUAAACUUUGAUGGUACUAUUUAAAAUUUAAAAAACAAGAAAGCCAAAAAAAAGAAAACAAAAGAAAACAGCUACUGUGGCGAUAUUUUGAUGAUGUUGGGGAUUAAGGUAAAAGCAUACUCCUGGGUCCAUGUUAUAUCUAUGAAAGAUUGAAUACUAUUGAAAGCAUUAAAUAUGAGCUAUGAAACAGGAAACUCAUAAGGGAGGUUAUUACUUUGGGUUUUACAUUUGCAAUAUCAGUACAAAUGUAAUACUAUAGUAAUUGACUUCCAACUAAUAACUACAAUUUUGUGUUUUUUUUUUUUCUGUUUUGGUGAUAAGCAGAAUCUGGAAGAAGAAUUGAAACUGGGAAGAGGGAAAAGAUGAAAAGGGAAGAAAUAAUACCUGAGAAAGGGAGCAAAAUUUGUUCUUGAAUGAGAGCCUAUUAAAUUUAUGUUGUAUCAGUAAUAUAUAUAUAAGGGUAAUAAUAUUAUAUAUAAAAAAAAGAAAGAUAUAUAAGGGUAAUAUAUAUAUAUAUAAAUAUAAAAAUAUGUAUUACCUUACCCUUAUCUAAUUUAUUAUUUUUAUUUAUUUUAGAAAUAGAGAAAUUAUAAGGGACAAAAAAAUUACAUGUGUCUUGUUAGAAAUGCAUGGGGAUUUGGUUGCCAAUGAAAUAGUGCCAAAAAAGGCAGAAAAUCAGUACAUUUGGUAGUCCAAAAAGAGACAAAAUCAUUACAUUUGAGUACCUACUGUAAUGAUUUUGUCUGCUUUUUGGCAUUAUUUCAGUGGCAACCAAAACUGCAUGAAUUUGUAUGAAGACAAUUGUACUUUAACUGUUCUUUGUAAAUAAGGAUGAAAAAGAUUUUUGUAUUUAUCUAUCUAUCUAUCUAUGUACAUAUAUAUAUACUCUCUCUCUCUAUAUAUAUACAUAUAUAUAUAUAUGUGUGUGUAUAUAUAUAUAUGUGUGUAUAUAUAUACACAGAGAGAUAGACAGACACAUGAAAUCAUGUGUCAUUUGGUUAGUAUGGUAGCAAAAAUGGUAAGUCGACAAACAGACAGAGAUCACUACUGUUGUAUUGGUAUAAAAAAAAAGAUAAUUUAGAUUUUCUUAAUUUGCAAUAUAUGUUGAACAAUGGAUAUAAAAACAUUUAGAAAUUGAGUAAAUCAUUAUUGCUAACUUGAGAUGUGGGUUGAAUGUGAGAGAUAACAAACGAAAUGCAAGAAUAAGCGUGAGAAAUCAUGUGUACCUGGUUGCUUUGAAUGGUGUCUCUUCGUUUCUAUGUUGGAAACAUUGGUAUUGAGUUGAGCAGAAUUACCAGCAGAAGGCAUGGGAUGCAAUGUCUGGAUAUCAGGACAAUUAAGCAGAUUCAUUUUUGUACAAAUGAAGUCUGUGUUAUCACUGCUUGCAGCUACACUCAUGUGACCAUGUUAAUCUUACAGUUUGAAGUUAAAGACAAAGGAAUACAAACCACAUCAAGUGCACACAAUUACUACAUCAAUGUCUAGCACAUUUGCAGUUCCACAUAAAUACUUAGGAGUUAGGUUUAGGUCCAAAGUGAAGUAAAUAUUACAACAUACAGCAUAGAUAACUAAAGCUUGAGCAUAGCAGAAAAAGCAUGAGUGAAUAACUGUAAGUCCCUAACCAAAAUUGAAAAGCAUACAGAAAUUGAGCACAUAACUUAAAAAAAAAGGUGAACAAGACAGAUAUAAGCAUAAUAAUACUUUCAUGUCUUCAUUUAUCACUUCCAUUUCCAUUUCGAUUUGCAGUUGAGUCAACCAAUGGAGGCGUAGGUGCUGACAAUUGCCUUUCCUGAAGAUGUCCAUCAGCAGCAAAAACUUUGGCAUUCGGUUGUAUAACAUGAUCAUCCUCUGCCUCCAAAGCUUGUACCCUUUUUUGGAUCAGUAUUGCAUCCACAACACGAUUUUUAGCAGCUUCUUUCUCCUGAAUUGAUACUGUACUUUCCAACUGUUUUGAACUUUUCGAAAUACAUCUUGAGUUUUGCGUGAACUUGAGCUUCUUCAUUUUUUAGGUUCUCAUUUUUCUUUUGCAUAUGUUUCAAUCGAUGGAGAAUUGAUUGAAGGAUAUGCAGAAGAAAAAUGAGUAGCUAAAAAAUGAAAAAGCUAAAGUUGAGGCAAAACUGAAGUUGUAUUUGGAAAAGUUCAAAGAGUUGGAAAGUAGAGUAUCAAUUCAGGAGAAAGAAGAUGCUAAAAAUUGUGUUGUGGAUGCAAUACUGAUCCAAAAAAGGGUACAAGCUUUGGAGGCAGAGGAUGAUCAUGUUCUACAACUGAAUACUAAAGCUUUUGGUGCUGAUGGAAAUCUUCAUGAAAAGCAUCUGCGGUAAAUCUGAGGCAGUCUUUACAGAAUGAAAAUCUGUCUUAAUGACAUAUGUGCUGCUACGUGUGCAUCAGACAGCAAACCUGAAUUUAACAGUUCCACAUAUGGUAAUAUUUGAAGAUUAACUAUACCUUCAAUUGAUUCUUUCAAUUUCCCAAGUUCUUUGGUAGUAGUUGAAUGCCGAGAAUAAGCUGUAAUGUAGCGAUGAUCCAGAUUCAACGCUUGUUGCAGUCAUUGUGUACCUCCUGACACCUAAAUACAGCCACACAGAAAGAGGUAAGAAAGCUUGUAAUUUUGGAGUCUUACCUACGUUACUUAAAAGAACAAUGAAGUGCACUAAAGUUGUGUUUUGAUUUGAAGAUAAGUGAUCGCUCUAUUGGCAUAAGACACUGCAGUUGGUGAAAGUGCAAUGGUUGUACGAUAGCAAUGAAUGAGUUUAUUGAAGUAUUUGUGCCUAAAGCAGUCAUUACGUUAGGAAGCAUCAUAAAAUGCAGCUUAGCAGUUAUAAUGAUGAAGCUUUGCAUUUUAAAAAGGGCUCAAGUAAUUUGAAGGAUCUAAUGUAGCAGUUCUUUUUCUGAAUUCGCAUUCAUGUUGCUCUGUUGUCAUAUUAGUUGACUUGUUAGAUGGCUAAUUGGAUUGUGAUGUUUACAAUAAUUAUAUGGACCAACUGUACUUUUGAUGGAUAACAUUAAAUUGAGGAUUAGUAAGAAGUUCAGGACUACAGCUCCACUGUUCUGUGUCUGCAAGAUUAUUAGGAGAAAUGGAAAAUGUUUUUGAGACAAACUGUUUACAAAUAACUGACAGCAGCAGCAGUUGACAUGGGCAAAGUAUGUGUGUUGUAACUUGUUCAACAAUGGAGAAAAUAUAGGUACCAGGUUGACAGUAAGACCAAAACUUCUGCUGUUGUUAACCACAUGGCUAACAAAUGUAUAAAUGGUUACAGACACAAAAAUGAACAGAACGUGCAGAAUUAUUCAGAUAUUAACGAAAAAUGUAGAAAUAGUCUUGAAGAAAGUUAACUUAACAAGAGCAAAUGUUAGAAUGAUUAUCACAAAUAAAAGGUGUUUGUUUAGGGCAUUACAUGUAUGACUGAAAAUCACUUGCAAGUGCAACAGAAACAUAGAAAAGUUGUCUUAGAACAUAGGGUAAAGGAAAAUGAGAUGUGAAAGAAAAGUGAAUUUUCAAAUUCAAUGAUGGAGACAGGAUUUUCACUAAGGUUAUACAAAGUAUAAAACAAUCAGGAAAACUCAGAGAAUUUGAGAAAGAAACAAAUUAACAGAGAGUAGUUGAAAAGUGGUAAUAAAAUUUCAAGUAGAUAUGAAGGAAAAAAGGGCUGUUUGAAUGUUUGAAGGAAAAAAAAAUUGCGCCAUUAUCAGAAACAUCAAAGAUGAAUCUUUGAUGUACAAAAGAAAGACAAUAAAGUCAGCAAUUUUGGUCCUGAAAGAGGAGAGUUUAGGUUGUUUAUGCUGGAAUGUUCUGAUGGUCUUUUCAGCUUUGAGAUUGUGAUGUUCAAAUGUAGAUAUAAAUGCACAUUUGGACGUGUUUAACAGUGAAGUGACUACAUUUAGAAAUGAAGUAAAUCAUUAGUGCUAAGUUCAGAUACCAUUGUUUUAAUUGUUAGUUGAUGUGAUUGAAUUAAAAGUAAAUUGUGAAUUAGUAAUAUUGGGAAGAUGAGACAAUGAAAUAAAUAUUUGAAUAUGCAUGCAAAAUUUGUCAAAUGAAAACAUAGAAGCACCGAAGCAGGAAUGUAAAAAGUGUUGGCAGGGUGAUGUAUUCAGAGUAAGAAGAUGAAACAGCAAUAGUAGAGGAUUGUGUUUUGUACCUACCAAGUUAGCAUGAGAGCUAAGUUUGUGGAAGUCCACUAACAACGUUGUUUUAUCCUUGCGGCAACUAUGUAUGAUUCCACACAUGCAUUGUGGUUUCUGCGGAUGAGAGUAAAGCACAGUUAGCAAGAAAUUCAUUCAUCGGUUCGUAAAUCCAGAAGGUAAGUUUAGGUACAUGAAGUAAUUACUUUAACCAUGAUAGAGACUUAAUAGAUAUUUAGAUAAGUACAAUGUACUAUACAAAGUUAGAGCAAAUGAAGAAGCAACCUAAUUGUUAGAAAUUUACAGCAAAGGAAGAAACAAAGGAAUUUUUUUUUUUGGGUUAUUAUAAACAAUGAGAGUACAGUCUGACCAAUACAAAGAGGUAGGAUAAACAGCAACAUAGAAAAAUGUGGUAACUCCUAAAAUGUUUGAUAGAGGUAAAAGUUGAUCAACUUGAGAGGCACAAAAGCGGAAAACAUUGUAAUAGAAUUAUGAGUAAUACAGAUAAUUUGAUUAUGGACAGAGUUGGAUAUAAGCAAGUAUAAUGUUAUGGUAAGGAAAAAGUUAAAGAAGCUGUUAUAAUGAAAUUACAGAAGCUGAAACAUAGUUUAAAACUGUAUUUUGUUUUCCAAAAAAUAUUGAAAUAAUAGAGUAAGAAAUCACCCACUUAGCGUAUGAGCAAUGGAGACAUUUGGCAGAUAUUUUGAGUAUGAAGUUCUUACAGUUCAUUCCUGCAAAAUAGUUUCAUUUUGUUGUGUUCAUUUUGAAAAAUAACUUAACAAUUUGAAAGAGUAAAGAACAAAGAGAACAAACUGAAAUUGUUUCUGCAACUUUUAAAAGUAUUGGAUAAUUGUAUUUUUAUUAGCUUCAUGUUGAACUGAUUUUCAGAUUCGAAAUGACAUUCGGUGAAUUCACUACCCUUCUGUAUAGCCUCAUAUUAUUGUUGGACAACAACAAAAAUUUUAUAACUAUUAUUAGUUGUACCGUCUUUAUGCAAGUUGUGCACCUUAGUAAAAGAGUUUUCUGAAAAGACAUGUCCAAGAUGAGCACCCAAAUUGUUGUUAAUUGAUAAGACUUGUUAUUUUUCAAGUGAAGUGAUUAUAUCUGAUUGUUCAAUUUUUGGUAACUAUUUUCAACUGUAGUGGCUUUCUAUAAUUUGCUGUAGUUGUUUCUCGUAAGUACUUCUAGUGGUUGACAAAAGUUUUGUGGGGUUCCAUCACGACUAUUGGUGUAUGAUAUGAACUUCAUCAUCCACAUGUCCAAGAUGAGCACCCAAAUUGUUGUUAAUUGAUAAGACUUGUCAUUGUGACUAUUGGUGUAUGAUAUGAACCUCAUCAUCCAAACAUGAUAUUGGCAGAAGGUAAUUGAACAUAUUUUUUCUUAUAUUUAGGCGUAAAUUAUAUUUUGUGACGUCUUGUACAUGUUAUAGUUAGAUUUUCAAGUGUUCUGUUUUGUGGACUUCAGUUUCUCAAAAUGGUGUAAGGAUGUCAAUAGUCUACAUUUGUCUAAUUGAACUAUGAACUAUGAUAUGUAGAAGUCAUUGCUUACUAUAGUUGGAAAGUGUAAUACGUCAACAUGUGCUUGCCUCAUUAUAGGCAUGGAAGAUACAAAUUACAGUAGAAAGAGAAAGAUAAGACGUUUAUGAGAUAUAAAAUAGGUAAAAAUAUCUGUAAUAGUAAAAUAAUAGUGAAAUAUGAAAUGAUAACAUACCUGAAGAAUAUACCUCUGGGCGUCUACAGAGUGUAGAUGAGUUGCAGUAUGUAUAACAAUUCUCCCAAAGAGUAUGCACUAUUACAAACAAGAAAGUCCAUUUUUGUUUAGCAUAAACAAAUUGUAAGGAGUAGUCAUUUCCAUAUUGCUUAUAGAGCAGUUAACAACAGAAAAUAAGAACAACAAAGAUAGAAGAGGAAGAAUAAAAAGGAAUUACAAUGUGGGGUUAGUU
Molecule: long non-coding RNA, 8300 nt
Filed under: Solanum tuberosum (potato)
Lineage: Eukaryota; Viridiplantae; Streptophyta; Magnoliopsida; Solanales; Solanaceae
Description: long non-coding RNA (STUB_LNC007084)
Source: RNAcentral